GACGAACGCUGGCGGCGUGCUUAACACAUGCCAGUCGAACGGAAAGGCCCCUUUGGGGGUACUCGAGUGGCGAACGGGUGAGUAACACGUGAGUAACCUGCCCUUGACUUCGGGAUAACUUCAGGAAACUGGGGCUAAUACCGGAUAGGAAUCCUUGCUGCAUGGUGGGGGUUGGAAAGCUUCGGCGGUUUUGGAUGGACUCGCGGCUUAUCAGCUUGUUGGUGGGGUAGUGGCUUACCAAGGCUUUGACGGGUAGCCGGCCUGAGAGGGCGACCGGCCACAUUGGGACUGAGAUACGGCCCAGACGCCUACGGGAGGCAGCGGUGGGGAAUAUUGCACAAUGGGCGGAAGCCUGAUGCAGCAACGCCGCGUGCGGGAUGACGGCCUUCGGGUUGUAAACCGCGUUCAGCAGGGGCGAAGCUUGUGGUGACGGUACCUGCAGAAGAAGCACCGGCUAACUACGUG
Molecule: ribosomal RNA, 465 nt
Filed under: uncultured bacterium
Lineage: Bacteria
Description: partial 16S ribosomal RNA
Rfam family: Bacterial small subunit ribosomal RNA
Source: RNAcentral